Molecule: ribosomal RNA, 468 nt
Filed under: uncultured bacterium
Lineage: Bacteria
Description: bacterial SSU rRNA
Rfam family: Bacterial small subunit ribosomal RNA
Source: RNAcentral
ACUCCUACGGGAGGCAGCAGUGAGGAAUAUUGGUCAAUGGAGGCAACUCUGAACCAGCCAUGCCGCGUGCAGGAAGACUGCCCUAUGGGUUGUAAACUGCUUUUAUACGGGAAGAAACAGUCCUACGUGUAGGACCUUGACGGUACCGUAAGAAUAAGCACCGGCUAACUCCGUGCCAGCAGCCGCGGUAAUACGGAGGGUGCAAGCGUUAUCCGGAAUCAUUGGGUUUAAAGGGUCCGCAGGCGGUCAAUUAAGUCAGAGGUGAAAUCCCACAGCUUAACUGUGGAACUGCCUUUGAUACUGGUUGACUUGAGUUAUACGGAAGUAGAUAGAAUGUGUAGUGUAGCGGUGAAAUGCAUAGAUAUUACACAGAAUACCGAUUGCGAAGGCAGUCUACUACGUAUAUACUGACGCUCAUGGACGAAAGCGUGGGAGCGAACAGGAUUAGAUACCCCUGGUAGGAUAGCG